Molecule: ribosomal RNA, 734 nt
Filed under: Escherichia coli
Lineage: Bacteria; Pseudomonadati; Pseudomonadota; Gammaproteobacteria; Enterobacterales; Enterobacteriaceae
Description: partial 23S ribosomal RNA
Rfam family: Bacterial large subunit ribosomal RNA
Source: RNAcentral
GGAAAGGCGCGCGAUACAGGGUGACAGCCCCGUACACAAAAAUGCACAUGCUGUGAGCUCGAUGAGUAGGGCGGGACACGUGGUAUCCUGUCUGAAUAUGGGGGGACCAUCCUCCAAGGCUAAAUACUCCUGACUGACCGAUAGUGAACCAGUACCGUGAGGGAAAGGCGAAAAGAACCCCGGCGAGGGGAGUGAAAAAGAACCUGAAACCGUGUACGUACAAGCAGUGGGAGCACGCUUAGGCGUGUGACUGCGUACCUUUUGUAUAAUGGGUCAGCGACUUAUAUUCUGUAGCAAGGUUAACCGAAUAGGGGAGCCGAAGGGAAACCGAGUCUUAACUGGGCGUUAAGUUGCAGGGUAUAGACCCGAAACCCGGUGAUCUAGCCAUGGGCAGGUUGAAGGUUGGGUAACACUAACUGGAGGACCGAACCGACUAAUGUUGAAAAAUUAGCGGAUGACUUGUGGCUGGGGGUGAAAGGCCAAUCAAACCGGGAGAUAGCUGGUUCUCCCCGAAAGCUAUUUAGGUAGCGCCUCGUGAAUUCAUCUCCGGGGGUAGAGCACUGUUUCGGCAAGGGGGUCAUCCCGACUUACCAACCCGAUGCAAACUGCGAAUACCGGAGAAUGUUAUCACGGGAGACACACGGCGGGUGCUAACGUCCGUCGUGAAGAGGGAAACAACCCAGACCGCCAGCUAAGGUCCCAAAGUCAUGGUUAAGUGGGAAACGAUGUGGGAA